GCAAAGCUGGCGUGCAAAGUAUGAUUCAAAUGAGCACAAAGGUCAUGUAUUUAUAGCAUGAAUGAAUGAUAUUUGCACAAUUCAAAAAUCUGUCCAAAAUUAGCAAUGUUGAUGGAACGAGUGCAUGGGCAUGUAUAGGCCCAUAAUGCAAUGCAAAAAGGUCCAAAAUGAUUCCAAAUGAAGUCUGAAUGAAGCUUGAAUGGAAAGGCAUUGUGAACUGAAGUUUAUGCAAUUGAUCUUUUCCAAUGAUGCAGCCCUGUUAAAG
RNAcentral lists this long non-coding RNA (265 nucleotides) under Lathyrus oleraceus (garden pea). Its description in RNAcentral is "Pisum sativum (pea) long non-coding RNA (PSAT_LNC029542)". Lineage: Eukaryota; Viridiplantae; Streptophyta; Magnoliopsida; Fabales; Fabaceae. The record is from RNAcentral.